GCUCGGAUGGUCUAGCGGUAUGACGGUAAGGGUUACUUUCCUUCCUAACCGGUGGCAGCCGCUGAUCUUCAAAUCACAGCUUGCCUCACACGCAAGAGGUCCGGGGUUCGAUACCCCGUCCGAGUA
Non-coding RNA from Extremus antarcticus, 126 nucleotides. NCBI's taxonomy places the organism in Eukaryota, Fungi, Ascomycota, Dothideomycetes, Mycosphaerellales, Extremaceae. The record is from the annotation of a GenBank genome assembly.